Molecule: long non-coding RNA, 1303 nt
Filed under: Salmo salar (Atlantic salmon)
Lineage: Eukaryota; Metazoa; Chordata; Actinopteri; Salmoniformes; Salmonidae
Description: lncRNA (ENSSSAG00000097251.1)
Source: RNAcentral
GUGUGUGUUAGUGUGUGUGUGUGUUAGUGUUUGUAUGUUAGUGUGUGUGUUUGUGUGGGUAUGUCAGUGUGUUAGUGUGUGUGUGUGUGUUAGUGUGUGUAUGUUAGUGUGUGUGUUAGUGUGUGUAUGUUAGUGUGUGUGUUAGUGUGUGUUAGUGUGUGUGUUAGUGUGUGUGUUAGUGUGUGUGUUAGUGUGUGUGUGUGUUAGUGUGUGUGUGUGUUAGUGUGUGUGUGUUAGUGUGUGUGUGUUAGUGUGUGUGUGUGUGUGUGUGUUAGUGUGCGUGUGUUAGUGGGUGUGUGUGUGUGUUAGUGUGUGUAUGUUAGUGUGUGUGUGUUAGUGUGUGUAUGUUAGUGUGUGUGUGUUAGUGUGUGUGUGUUAGUGUGUGUGUGUGUUAGUGUGUGUGUGUGUGUGUUAGUGUGCGUGUGUUAGUGGGUGUGUGUGUGUGUUAGUGUUUGUGAGUGUUAGUGUGUGCGUGUUAGUGUGUGUGAGUGUGUGUGUGUUAGUGUGUGUGUGUUAGUGUGAGUGUGUUAGUGUGUGUGUGUUAGUGUGUGUGUGUGUGUUAGUGUGUGUGUGUGAGUGUGUAUUAGUGUGUGUGUGUGUUAGUGUGUGUAUGUUAGUGUGUGUGUGUUGUGUUAGUGUGUGUAUGUUAGUGUGUGUGUGUUAGUGUGUGUGUUAGUGUGUGUGUGUGUUAGUGUGUGUGUUUUAGUGUGUGCGUGUGUUAGUGUGUGUGUGUUAGUGUGUGUGUGUUAGUGUGUGUGUGUUAGUGUGUGUGAGUGUGUGUUAGUGUGUGUGUGUGUGUGUUAGUGUGUGUGUGUGUUAGUGUGUGUGUGUGUGUGUGUGUGUGUGUGUUAGUGUGUGUGUGUUAGUGUGUGUGUGUUAGUGUGUGUGUGUUAGUGUGUGUGUGUGUAUUAGUGUGUGUGUGUGUUAGUGUGUGUGUGUUAGUGUAUGUGUGUUAGUGUGUGUGUGUGUUAGUGUGUGCAUGUUAGUGUGUGUGUGUUAGUGUGUGUGUGUUAGUGUGUGUGUGUUAGUGUGUGUGUUACUGUGUGUAUGUUAGUGUGUAUGUUAGUGUGUGUAUGUUAGUGUGUGUGUGUGUGUGUGUGUUGUGUGUGUGUGUUAGUGUGUGUGUGUUAGUGUGUGUGUGUUAGUGUGUGUGUAGUUGUGUGUGUGUGAGUGUGUAUUAGUGUGUGUGUGUGUUAGUGUGUGUGUGUUAGUGUGUGUGUGUGUGUGUUAGUGUGUGUGUGUUAGUGUGUGUGUGUGUUAGUGUGUGCAUGUUAGUGUGUGUGUGUUAGUGUGUGUGUGUUAG